UAGACAGAUAUAGUCAGAGGAUACGGUACAGUUCGAGUUUCCGUGAAAUUGUAGAUCUUUACAAAUUGUAACAAUUUAUUCAAUAUUUUAUUACUUUAUUGACAGUUGUGAAGGAGAUGAAAAAUUACGUUCUGAUAUUAUACAUCGAGAUAUUCCAGGUUCAGUUGAAAGAAUGAUUGCUAUUCUUACUGAAAGCUUUGGUGGAAAAUGAGCUCAUUGAAAUCAACCAAUGAAAUCGAUCGGACCACCAAAUGAUCUUAAUAAACGUCAAUCACUCUACACAACGGUAGAUGCCCUCAAGACUCGAAAGUGAAAGGAAGUGUGCUUGGUGACAGCUGGUGUUUUGAAUACUUCGAAGUGAAACUUUGUCGAAUAUUUUUGCUUUUAGCGUGUAUUUUUGAAUCGAUAUUUUUUGAAAUUGUCCACGAUCAUCAUUGUUUUACGCUAUAUAAGUAUUUGUAUGUUUAGUUUGAGUAAAAAGUAAACUAAAAUUGAUAUUUUCAACCUUGUUCGAUAUAUUUUGAAAAAAUGGCGAAAUCUCAUUAUGGAUAUAGUAUGCAAAAAAAAUUUGCAUAAUGAAAGUAUGGCAUUAUGGAUAUAGUAUGCAAAAAAAUUUGCAUAAUGAAAAUUUACAUAAUCAUAACCAAUAGAUGAGGUAAGCGUUUAUUUUUUAUUUUUCUUUAAUUAUAAAUUUAGUGAUUACUUGUUUAUUUUCGUGAAGAAAACGAAGAACACUGGGCACGAAUUAUGCAAAACUGACUAGCUUGACUACGAAAAUACCCACAAAAUCUUUGAAUGGAGUGGGAUACAGGGAAAAAUUUGAAGAGUGUUGACGGCUACAGGUUCUUCAAUUCAAUAAGUUCGAAUGAUAGCAAUUUCAGUGGGCGAGAAAAAGAUUUUUAAUGAAAUACGAUGAAAAGAAGAUAAUUUUCUCUUGAGAAUUUACUAUGAGAAAUCAUAAAGAAUGCAACCGAAGUCGUAUCCUGGUUGAAAUUUGAGGCGAAGAUAAAACGGAUCGCUGUGAAAAGAACUGGAAGAGAACAAAGGAGGAGUAAGGAUAUUCAAAUGAAAGCAACAGACAGAGCGUAUUUUUAUGGAUUUACUUGUGCACACGUUCAAAAUUUUUUUUCCUUUUUUCUUAAAACUUUGCACGAAAAGUUUGUUUAACAUUUUUGUUGUGCAAUCACUAUCUUUGUCGUAUUUUGCUGGUGGUAGACGAGUACUAGUAAGGGUAGAAAAAUGAUUAGACAAUAGAUCAAAAAAACAAUUGUUGUGAACGAUCUAUCUGAAAACGAUGUUCAAAAGCAUUCAAAGAAGUCUAUAUGACUCCUCCAUUUGAAAUGUGUAAGGAAUUAAAACAAACAUUCCUUCAUGAAACAAAACUAAAUGUUGUUGUGUGCAUGUGCUAACGAUUUUGAUUAAAUUUUUAAGUCAAA
Molecule: long non-coding RNA, 1436 nt
Organism: Xenia sp. Carnegie-2017
Lineage: Eukaryota; Metazoa; Cnidaria; Anthozoa; Malacalcyonacea; Xeniidae
Exons: 5
Source: RefSeq, a predicted model, not a curated record